This 2210-nucleotide ribosomal RNA is filed under the name marine sediment metagenome. RNAcentral describes it as "bacterial LSU rRNA". It matches the Rfam family "Bacterial large subunit ribosomal RNA", at positions 446 to 2016 of the family's 2925-position model. The record is from RNAcentral.
GCGAGGACCACCUCGUAAGGCUAAACACUUCCGAACGACCGAUAGCGGACUAGUACCGUGAGGGAAAGGUGAAAAGCACCCCGGUGAGGGGAGUGAAAUAGUACCUGAAACCAUUAGCUUACAAGCAGUCGGAGGGAUCACUUGUGGUCCUGACGGCCUGCCUUUUGAAGAAUGAGCCGACGAGUUAUUGAUGUGUGGCGAGGUUAAGUCGAGUGACGGAGCCGCAGCGAAAGCGAGUCUUAAUAGGGCGUCUAGUCGCAUGUCAUAGACCCGAAGCCGGGUGAUCUAUCCAUGGACAGGGUGAAGCGAGGGUAAGACCUCGUGGAGGCCCGAACCCACCUAGGUUGAAAACUGGGGGGAUGAUCUGUGGAUAGGGGUGAAAGGCCAAUCAAACCCGGCGAUAGCUGGUUCUCCCCGAAAUAGCUUUAGGGCUAGCGUCGUAUGUUCCGCAUUGGGGGUAGAGCACUGAUUGGGUUAGGGGGCCAAAAAGCUUACCGACCCCAGUUAAACUCCGAAUCCCAAUGCGCCAAGUACGGCAGUCAGACCAUGGGGGAUAAGCUUCAUGGUCGAAAGGGAAACAGCCCAGAUCGUCAGCUAAGGUCCCAAAGUCAGAACUAAGUGGGGAACGAUGUGGAGUUGCCCAAACAGCCAGGAGGUUGGCUUAGAAGCAGCCAUUCCUUUAAAGAGUGCGUAACAGCUCACUGGUCGAGUGAUCCCGCGCGGAUAAUGUAACGGGGCUCAAGUUCUGCACCGAAGCUACGGGUUCUCAUCUGAACCCCGGCCUGAUCCUUCGGGAGAUGGUCCAGGGGAUGAGAGCGGUAGGGGAGCGUCGUGUGGCCGACGAAGCGGCGGCGGAAGCCAGCCGUGGAGGCCACUCGAGUGAGAAUGUCGGCAUGAGUAGCGAAUGAGGAGUGAGAAUCUCCUCCGCCGGAUGUCCAAGGUUUCCUGGGGAAGGCUCGUCCGCCCAGGGUUAGUCGGGACCUAAGGUGAGGCCGAGAGGCGUAAUCGAUGGAUAACGGGUUGAUAUUCCCGUACCACCACAGGCGCGCCCAGGCUGAAUCCAACUUGCUAAGGAAAGCCCUUCGGGGCCUACCGACCCAGUUGGUAUUAGGCCAGCAAUGGAGUGACGCGGAAGGGUAAGCGGACCCGGGCGAUGGUUGUCCCGGGGUAAGCGUGUAGGACGAGAUCUAGGCAAAUCCGGAUCUCACGAAGUCCGAGGCGCGAAGCCGAGCCGAUACAGGCGAAGCCGCUGAACGCCCAAGCCGCCAAGAAAAGCUUCUAGCGAGCUCCUGUGGUGCCCGUACCCCAAACCAACACAGGUGGACAGGUAGAGAAUACUAAGGCGAGCGAGAUAACUCUGGUUAAGGAAUUCGGCAAAAUGGCUCCGUAACUUCGGGAGAAGGAGCGCCCCGGUAGGGUGUAGGACCUCGCGUCCGAAGCUCGAAGGGGUUGCAGAGACCAGGCCCAAGCGACUGUUUACUAAAAACACAGGAGCGUGCGAAGUCGCAAGACGCAGUAUACGCUCUGACGGUGCUGGAAGGUCAAGGGGAUAGGUUAGCUCUUCGGAGCGAAGCUUUGAACUCAAGCCCCAGUAAACGGCGGCGGUAACUAUAACCGUUGAACAGAAAACUGAACGGCGGUUGCAAAACCUGGCUAUAUGCUGGAACAUCCGAGUAUCCGACGGUACUCGUUCGGUCCAAAGGUAGAAAUACCGAAGGACAUGAACAGUGAAAAUCCGAUCGGUGCGGACAAUCAGCAGGAAACCGAAGCCACAGAACGACCAAUCGAUCCAUAUCGGAUCGUCAGAGGAUCGCCUCGAGCGAACCGUCUGACGUACCGGAUGCUGGCAACUCAAGCCGGCGGACGGGCAGACCGAAACGAAUCGAGGGUUGGCGUGGAAGACCAUGCAUCCAGGCAUACGUACCGAUCGCAAGAUCGAUGCCAACACGGAAGCACUGGUCCCUGGACAGAACCGAAAGGUGACGUCCUGUAGGGAUCCUCAGAGACUGUACGCUAGGCGCCGCAAUGAGUAGCGGUGAUGAUACAGUCCGAUCCUCAUGGCGACAUGGGGAGCCCGGCAGAAAUGACCGGGCCCGUUACUUCACGUAAUGAAUUCCACGUGGAGUGCGAAGUAACAAGAAUGCCUAAGGUAGCGAAAUUCCUUGUCGGGUAAGUUCCGACCUGCACGAAUGGCGCAACGACUUGGGCAC